This 208-nucleotide ribosomal RNA is filed under the name uncultured Syntrophorhabdus sp. RNAcentral's name for it is "partial 16S ribosomal RNA". It matches the Rfam family "Bacterial small subunit ribosomal RNA", at positions 568 to 774 of the family's 1533-position model. The record is from RNAcentral. Lineage: Bacteria; Pseudomonadati; Thermodesulfobacteriota; Syntrophorhabdia; Syntrophorhabdales; Syntrophorhabdaceae.
CGCGUAGGCGGUAAUAUAAGUCAAAUGUGAAAUCCUCCAGCUUAACUGGAGAACAGCAUCUGAAACUGUGUAACUAGAGUACAGGAGAGGGAAACGGAAUUCCCGGUGUAGAGGUGAAAUUCGUAGAUAUCGGGAGGAACACCAGUGGCGAAGGCGGUUUUCCUGGCCUGAUACUGACGCUGAGGCGCGAAAGCGUGGGGAGCAAACA